UACGUAGGGUGCGAGCGUUGUCCGGAAUUAUUGGGCGUAAAGAGCUCGUAGGCGGUUUGUCGCGUCUGCCGUGAAAGUCCGGGGCUCAACUCCGGAUCUGCGGUGGGUACGGGCAGACUAGAGUGAUGUAGGGGAGACUGGAAUUCCUGGUGUAGCGGUGAAAUGCGUAGAUAUCGAGAGGAACACCUGCGGCGAAGGCGGGUUGCUGGGCUGAUACUGACGCUGAGGCGCGAAAGCCAGGGGAGCGAACGGG
RNAcentral lists this ribosomal RNA (253 nucleotides) under uncultured bacterium. RNAcentral describes it as "partial 16S ribosomal RNA". It matches the Rfam family "Bacterial small subunit ribosomal RNA", at positions 524 to 776 of the family's 1533-position model. The record is from RNAcentral.